RNAcentral lists this ribosomal RNA (440 nucleotides) under uncultured bacterium. RNAcentral describes it as "bacterial SSU rRNA". It matches the Rfam family "Bacterial small subunit ribosomal RNA", at positions 338 to 770 of the family's 1533-position model. The record is from RNAcentral.
CCUACGGGAGGCAGCAGUGGGGAAUUUUGCGCAAUGGGCUAACGCCUGACGCAGCAACGCCGCGUGGAGGAUGAAGGUCUUUGGAUUGUAAACUCCUGUCAGCAGGGAAAAAGCGACUCGGACGAAUAAUCCGGGGAGUUGAUUGUACCUGCAGAGGAAGCCCCGGCUAACUCUGUGCCAGCAGCCGCGGUAAUACAGAGGGGGCAAGCGUUAUUCGGAAUUAUUGGGCGUAAAGGGCGCGUAGGCGGCUUGGCAAGUGGAUGGUGAAAUCCCUCGGCUUAACCGAGGAACUGCCGUCCAAACUGCUUUGCUUGAGGCCGGGAGAGGCGAGUGGAAUUCCCAGUGUAGCGGUGAAAUGCGUAGAUAUUGGGAGGAACACCAGUGGCGAAGGCGGCUCGCUGGACCGGUUCUGACGCUGAUGCGCGAAAGCGUGGGGAGCA